RNAcentral lists this long non-coding RNA (571 nucleotides) under Physcomitrium patens. Its description in RNAcentral is "long non-coding RNA (PPAT_LNC010928)". Lineage: Eukaryota; Viridiplantae; Streptophyta; Bryopsida; Funariales; Funariaceae. The record is from RNAcentral.
UAGAUAUUAGUCAAAGGAUAGAAAAAUUAAAGGUGCUAAUGCUGCCUAUUUACAAAUUAUGCUUCUAUUUACUUUGUAAGGCUAUAAAUAAGGAAAAAAAGGUAGAUUAGAAAAAUAAAAUAUAUAAGCAUAUGUAGGGAGGAGUUAGGAGUGCAAAUUAGUAAAAAUUACCUCAAGAAGAUGAAAGUUGAUAUCCGAAGAGGACCGGUUAUGAACCUGGGUCGAAAUCAGACCCCGAGGCACAAAACCAUGCUUUGAUGGCGACUCAAGGUUCUUUUGGAGAUUGAAGAAUGAGAUUUGAUAGCAGACUAAAUAGAUUUUCUAUGAAUGUUGAUUUUGGAUGAUUUGGAGUUGAUAUGACUUUGUAAGAGCUUUGCAAAGUUGAGGUUUGUUUCAGAUGACUUGGGUUUUAUGAAAUAAAAUAGGGUUUACGUUUUGGAUGAUUUCAAGAGUAUUGUAAUAGAUCUAUAGGUAAAAUUUUGUGAGUUUAUGGUUAUAGUUGUGUUUAAUAUGUAUCGUGAAUUUGAGCUUAAUCUAACGGUUGAAUUGAGGAAUAUUGAGGUUUAAGUGG